Molecule: ribosomal RNA, 450 nt
Filed under: uncultured bacterium
Lineage: Bacteria
Description: partial 16S ribosomal RNA
Rfam family: Bacterial small subunit ribosomal RNA
Source: RNAcentral
GUGGGGAAUUUUGGACAAUGGGCGAAAGCCUGAUCCAGCAAUGCCGCGUGUGUGAAGAAGGCCUUCGGGUUGUAAAGCACUUUUGGCAGGGAAGAAACAGUGCGUGCUAAUACCAUGCGCGAAUGACGGUACCUGCAGAAUAAGCACCGGCUAACUACGUGCCAGCAGCCGCGGUAAUACGUAGGGUGCAAGCGUUAAUCGGAAUUACUGGGCGUAAAGCGUGCGCAGGCGGCUUUGUAAGACGGAUGUGAAAGCCCCGGGCUCAACCUGGGAAGUGCAUUCGUGACUGCAAGGCUAGAGUGUGUCAGAGGGAGGUGGAAUUCCGCGUGUAGCAGUGAAAUGCGUAGAGAUGCGGAGGAACACCGAUGGCGAAGGCAGCCUCCUGGGAUAACACUGACGCUCAGGCACGAAAGCGUGGGGAUCAAACAGGAUUAGAAACCCGGGUAGUCC